RNAcentral lists this non-coding RNA (29 nucleotides) under Rattus norvegicus (Norway rat). The record is from RNAcentral. Lineage: Eukaryota; Metazoa; Chordata; Mammalia; Rodentia; Muridae.
UGAGCCCUGUAAUUGGUUAUCCAAUAUGA